AAAAUCAUACACAUAUCCCUUUUCUUAAUUAUGAACUAUUUAUUUUGUAAUUUUAUUUUGUUCAAGGGCUGUAUCAGCAGCCUCAGCUGCAACAUGUGGACCAACCGUAGCUCACAUGCUACCAACCUAACACAAGGAAAAAAGAACAAAUUUGGUUCAAUGAGUGAUUGCUAACAUCAUAUCAUAUUUGUAUAGUUUCCAUUCAAGCAAACUAAUAAAAAUAUUUAAUAGAGUAUCAAUUUCUACUGUGGAAACAACAUUCCUUCCAUUUCCCCUUUCAACGUCUUUCUUUUUGGGAAUAUGUUGAUGUCGAUCAAGUUCUCCAAAUGGGAACAUCAAAGGAUAUUGCAAAGGAUCAUAACAACCAUAGUAAUAUUGAACACUCUUGGAGCAGUCACUGUGUAACUUCACUUCAAUGCUUCUCCGACCGUGUUCCCAGUUUUGUUACCUUCAAUCCAAAUAGCAGCUACUUGAGAAACUUCUGGUUUAUUAAAAACCCUUUGAUCUCGUCCCAUAAUAGUCUUAAGAAUAAUCUUAUUUUCAUCUAAGUUUGGAACAUCCCUUAAAUUUCUAAAAGAAUGAACAUACGGAUUAUCUUUUAGAUAUUCAACACAUUUCACAAUCAAGUGUAUACAUAACUGCGGAGAAUCCGACAAACAAUUUUCCAAAUCUUUAUCAGUGUCGUGAAAGUACAAUUGUAAAUUUUUGGAAUCAUUUUCUUGAGGCGACAAGUUGUUUAUAAAAUGAUAAACCUGAGCUUGAACUCUAAAAGUGUAAAUUCCUUUAUUUCUUUACCGAGUUCAUUAUCUGAUGUAACCCCUAAAGAAUUAAAAGCAAAGUGGUUGUUGUAUGUUAUAAUAUAUGUCCUAAAUGAGAUAGCUUCUUUUGAUGUUGAAGUCAGUAGAUCUUGCACCAAAAGUGGGAGCUCAUUAUUUGACAAAACAACACGACCAUCUAGACAACAAAAAUUAGUUGUUUCUGAGUAAAAUUUGACAGCAUCAAAGUAACGACAACGGUGAAAGUUUGGAAGGACAUCAGAAGCAAGGGGGACUUGUUGUAACAAAUGUAUGCCUGUCCUAUUAUUCAGUUGUCUUCUCAUAUAAUUUGUCUUACCUACAUCAAUUGAAUUUUUUAAUGCAUUAUCAUUAGCCAAACAACUUGGUGGCAAUAAAACUCUAUUUUUAGUUGUCUUUUUCUUCCAUCUCUCAAUGGUUGCUCUCCUAUACUGCUUCGUGUCCAUUAAAACAUUCAGAAGUAGAUCUGAGGGUGGACCCGAAAUAGCCGACGUCUCAGCUGAAGCAGUUGAAUUUCGUUUUGGUUUGUCAUAAGCUAAACAACUCGGUGUACGUUUACUUUUCUGUUUCUUCCAUCUUUCAAUAACUUCUUUCCUAUAUUGCUUCUUGUCAAUUAAAACAUCAAAAAAUACUUUUGAGGUGUCACCCGAAAUAGAAAUGGCAAGCUUCGAUGCACUUGUAUGAUUAUUUCUCUUUAACUUCCAUCUUAUAAUAGCUUCUCUCCUGUAUUGACUCUUGUCAACAAAAUCAGAACAUAUCAUAGCACAUUUACCUCUCUUUUCCCUCCAUCUUAUAAUGACUUCUCUUCUAUACUACUUCCGGUGGUAUACAUCUCCUAGGACAAUAUUUGUAUUUCCAGUUUUAUCAUUCGUUACUUCUUUUUCUGAGUUGAGCAUAAUUAUGGCUUUAUGUUUCUUAUCUCCAUAUCUAUCGGUUGAACCUAGAGGGCCUCGUUUUCUUCCCGAAAUAACAGAAUGAUCCCCCAUAUUAUUUUUAAAAGCUGGAAAAAAGCUAAAACCGAAGAGCUAGUUGGGGUAAGAAGAUGCAGCGACACAAAAAUUCAAACAACAAGUAUAUUUUGUUUUUUAUUUUCCUUUUAUGAAAUGCAAUAAAAUUAAAAUCUAAUUUUUGGAACCAUUAACAAUAUUUUUUAGAGACAUAAAACACAAAAAGGAUAUCAGAAAACAAACCUAGAGGAUCUUUGUUGAUGAUGAAUAUACAAAGGGGGAAUCGUUAUAACAAAGAGGUUUCAGAUUAUAGAUUUCUUUCCUGAAAAAAAAAAACAAGCAAAAGAAACUGCUUAUAGUCAGAUGAUUUCUCAUUAAAAAUGAAAAUUUGGAAUGAGGGAAUCGUUUAUUAAGACGAAUAAAUAAAAUCACCAGUUAGAAAUUUCAAAACCCUUAUGACUUCAGGACCUUAGAAUCAGAAACAGAAAAUAAACCACCAUUAAAAUAAAUAUUGAUCGAUGAAGUCACCUGGUUGAAUGAAAAGUGAAUCAGACAAUACCCUUUAAAGCUGCUUGUUAAUCCAAUGAUUGAGGUAGAUGGAUUAUCAGUUAUUGAAACCUAAAUUAGAAUGUGGGGAGCAAACAGUUCUUAGAAAACAGGUGGUAUGGAGUUAUUGCAUCAAUAUGAAACAACAAUUAUGUUUCUUAUCUUGCAAAAAAAAACCAUCUAUUGAUCAAUUACAGAGGAGCGCUGACGAAAUGGGCAAACGUCGGUAUAUUGGGUUGUUGGGUAAAGAGAAGUGAUGGAGGUAGUAGUGUACUGAGAAAGUAGGGAAGCGUGGAGGUGAAGAGGUGACUUUUCAAACGAUGACACAUUGUCCCAUUUGGUGGAACCGACUGGACAGAAACAUGUUAAAAAGCCUGUUUAAAAUCAACAAAAAAUAGCCGAAAAUCCAAG
This 2698-nucleotide long non-coding RNA is filed under the name Lactuca sativa (garden lettuce). RNAcentral describes it as "long non-coding RNA (LSAT_LNC009135)". Lineage: Eukaryota; Viridiplantae; Streptophyta; Magnoliopsida; Asterales; Asteraceae. The record is from RNAcentral.